AUGGGCUGGAGCUGGAGAGCCCUCUUCCUGGUGGCAGUUGCUGCAGGUGUCCACUCAGAGUUGCAACUGGUGCAGUCUGAGGCUGAGGUGAGGAAGCCGGGGGCCUCAGUGAAGGUCCCCUGCAAGUUUUCUGGAUACACCCUCAGCAGCUCCUUCGUGCACUGGGUGCGAAAGGCCCCGGGACAAGGGCUCGAGUGGAUAGGGAUGGUUUACCCUGACUAUGGUAACACAAACUACGCACAGAAGGUCCAGGGCAGAAUCACCAUAACCGCAGACAAGUCCACGAGCACAGCCUACAUGGAGCUGAGAAGCCUGAGAGCUGAGGACACGGCCGUGUAUUACUGUCAGUCCGUCAUCAACCCAGACAUGUCCAGGAACCAGGAUUCCCUGCAGCUGAGCUCCAUGAGCACCGAGGACACAGCCAUGUAUUACUGUGUGACAGACAGUGAGAAGAUGUCAGCGUGA
Molecule: non-coding RNA, 465 nt
Organism: Pteronotus mesoamericanus
Lineage: Eukaryota; Metazoa; Chordata; Mammalia; Chiroptera; Mormoopidae
Source: the annotation of a RefSeq genome assembly